Molecule: ribosomal RNA, 259 nt
Filed under: Staphylococcus aureus
Lineage: Bacteria; Bacillati; Bacillota; Bacilli; Caryophanales; Staphylococcaceae
Description: partial 16S ribosomal RNA
Rfam family: Bacterial small subunit ribosomal RNA
Source: RNAcentral
AUAGAUGGAUCCGCGCUGCAUUAGCUAGUUGGUAAGGUAACGGCUUACCAAGGCAACGAUGCAUAGCCGACCUGAGAGGGUGAUCGGCCACACUGGAACUGAGACACGGUCCAGACUCCUACGGGAGGCAGCAGUAGGGAAUCUUCCGCAAUGGGCGAAAGCCUGACGGAGCAACGCCGCGUGAGUGAUGAAGGUCUUCGGAUCGUAAAACUCUGUUAUUAGGGAAGAACAUAUGUGUAAGUAACUGUGCACAUCUUGA